UACAGGGGGUGCAAACGUUGCUCGGAAUUAUUGGGCGUAAAGCGCGCGUAGGCGGCUACUUAUGUCGGAUGUGAAAGCCCUUGGCUCAACUGAGGAAGUGCACCCGAAACUGAGUAGCUGGAGUACGAAAGAGGGUCGCGGAAUUCCCGGUGUAGAGGUGAAAUUCGUAGAUAUCGGGAGGAACACCUAUGGCGAAGGCAGCUCGCUGGGACGGUACUGACGCUGAGGCGCGAAAGCGUGGGGAGCAAACAGG
RNAcentral lists this ribosomal RNA (253 nucleotides) under uncultured bacterium. RNAcentral describes it as "partial 16S ribosomal RNA". It matches the Rfam family "Bacterial small subunit ribosomal RNA", at positions 524 to 776 of the family's 1533-position model. The record is from RNAcentral.